Molecule: ribosomal RNA, 497 nt
Filed under: uncultured bacterium
Lineage: Bacteria
Description: partial 16S ribosomal RNA
Rfam family: Bacterial small subunit ribosomal RNA
Source: RNAcentral
GAUGAACGCUGGCGGCGUGCCUAAUAAAUGCAAGUCGAACGGACAGACGAGGAGCUUUUUCCUCUUACGGUUGCGGCGGGCGGGUGGGUGACGCAUGGAUAAGCUACCUAUUUUUCUGGGGUGACUACGGGAGGACGGCUCUAAUACCGGAGAAUAUCUUCAACCGGAUGGUUCAAGAGUGAAAGACGGCUUUGCUGUCACAUAUAGAUGGAUCCGUGCCGCAUUAGUUAGUUGGUAAGGUAACGGCCUACCAAGGCAACGAUACGUAGCCGACCUGAGAGGGUGAUCGGCCACACUGGAACUGAGACACGGUCCAGACUCCUACGGGAGGCAGCAGUGGGGAAUAUUGGGCAAUGGGCGCAAGCCUGACGGAGCAACGCCGCGUGGGUGAAGAAGGUCUUCGGGUCGUAAAGCCCUGUUAUUAGGGAAGAACAAAUGUAGAAGUAACCAUGCACGUCUUGACGGUACCUAAACAGAAAGCCACGGCUAACUACGUG